This is an RNA transcript of Mercurialis annua (annual mercury), 8365 nucleotides long. RefSeq lists it as uncharacterized. The transcript is spliced from 9 exons. The record is from RefSeq and is a predicted model, not a curated record. NCBI's taxonomy places the organism in Eukaryota, Viridiplantae, Streptophyta, Magnoliopsida, Malpighiales, Euphorbiaceae.
ACCAAAAUAAAUUUGGUUGAAUACGAUUAGAAUUUAGAACACAACAUAAAUUUUUAUGAGCAGACGCUGCCAGUAGGCUUACCAACUGUUUGGUCAAGGUACAAUUUGUUGUUAGCAAUCAAGAAUGGCUAUGGAGAGAAGCAAGAGACCAGAAAUCAACAAAGAAGAAGUAAUCGCCAAACUUAAAGAUGACGGCGACUUCGAUAAUCUCCGUCUCAAAGUUAUCCGCAAGCUCAAAGAUAACGAAGAAUUGCGCAAUAAUCUUAUUUCCAUUAUAAGGCAGUCAGCUGCACUUAAUCGUCCAGGAGCUGACAAUAUGAAACCUAGACAACUCUCUGAUGCUAUCUAUGAAGAGGUUGGGAGUGAAGCUAUGAGCAAGAUUUCUGAUGGUGUUUGGGAGAUAAUUAGAUGUGCUGAUGGUAUGAAAAAUGAAAUAACUGAGACUGUACAGUCUGUUUAUGAUAAGUUGGUGGAGCCUGAAAGGAAAGGAAGGUGUGAAUCUUCUAAUCGUGAUAUAAUGCAGGCUGACAAUGAUGUCACUGUGAAGGCGGCGGCUGCUUCUGCGGUUGCCUUGGGUGGUGAGUCUUCUGACGAUGAACCGCCGGGGUUUCCUUUGCCCGGUAGUCGUCAGACCAACCAUGGAACUGAGGAGUUAGAGUUGCCUGUGCAUUGUGGGGGAAUUUUGGAGAAGGAGAAGGAGAAGGAACAGCCACGGCACUCGAAAGAUAUGAUGGAAUCGGAUGAUGCUGAUCCUAGUGUACCACCAGGCUUUGCUGCAGACACUAAUGGUAAUCAGCCAUGCCAUGAUAGUGAUGAGGACUCUGAUGUGCCCCCUGGUUUUGGUUGAUGAAUCUGCUUUAAAAGCAAUUUUGCUGCUGCUAUUUGUCAAUCUGAGUUCUUGAUAACAGCCGUACAUGGAAUGAUUUAGCCCUGAAUGCUUUGUGGAAUUCUCUUUCCCCUCCUUUGAAGUGUAGACAGAAUGAUACUUGAAGAUAUAGUAGCCAGGCUUUUGAGGGCAAAGAAGCUUAAUACUGUUCAGUAAUCCUUUUUAAGGUUAGUUUUACAUACUAUAUUUUCCUAAUACUACAUAUCUGCUUUGUGGCAUUGCACAUAGAAGGGUGCCAAGCUACUUCUCUGUAUUCUGAUGAUGAGAUAUUUUUGGUAAAUAUGAAUGCAUAAUGCUUUUCUUACAGCAGGGUUCGCCAUUUGUUGUUUUAAAGAUCACUUGCACUUGUUCAUUAUCUACAAGAAACUUUGAAUGACUAGUGGUUCAGAAGCGUCCUUCUGUUGUAAAACACCAGGACCAUGAGUUCAGACCAUCAUGUUGGGGUUGUUAUGAGAAUAUGUUAAAGUUCGAAGGAAAUUUUAUAGCUGAAAAAUAUCACUGUUUGCAAUGAAAUUUACCAUAGGGAGUUAAAGUUGUUCAAUGCAAAUCAUUGCUUGUCUACUAAGUGUAAUACAAGUGCCUCAUUUCUCAAAUGAACCCCACAGAUAUUGGACUCCUAACAGAGUAGUUAGCAGAAUCCCAAGUUAUAUAUCCCUGAACAAAUUUGCCGGUUUUGGCACCGGAUCCAGUAUGGCUGAUUGUUACUGAGUACGUCGCUUUCUGGUUCACCUUGGAAAAAUAGAGCCUGGAGGGUUUGACACUUAUAGCGACUCCUGGUGGAGAAGUAAUUGUUACCUUGUAAACUGAAUUUGCAUAACCCACAUUUGUGACGGUCCGUGUGAAUGUCUGUGAAGUUCCCAAUGUAACAGAAAAUGAAGGAUAAUUCAGCUGCCCUUCAGGUAUGGCUGGAUAUUUUGAGCACGCAAUUGGUUUAUGUGCAAUUAUGCUUACUUGCUUGUCCGCGUAGCCCAGGCCACACAAAUAAGGUAUAUAAUCAUCCGGUUGGAUGUCAUAAACUAAUCCUGGGUCAUUUGCCUUAGAUGGGUUCACAUGGCCUGCACCAACGGCGAAGAAAUCUGCAGGUUGAUCUGUUUCAUCAACAAUGUGUUUGUCUUCCAAGUUUAAGAUAUCUGCAGUAGUCAUAAUGGCAGAUUUAAUGGCAGCAGGUGACCAGUGAGGAUGAGAGCUCUUGAGCAAGGCUGCAAUGCCACUAAGAUGCGGGCAUGACAUUGAAGUCCCUGACAUUAUGUUAAAGGUUGAUACUGUUUUUGUAUUAUUAUCAAGCGGGAAGGGCCAUGCUGCUAUAAUGCUUACACCGGGGCCAAUUAUGUCUGGUUUGAGAAUACCAGGGCUUGCGAUGCUGGGACCUCUCGACGAGAAUGAGGUAACAGCGGGAGCUGACGGGUCUCCUAUGACAGUUCCUUUAAAUAAGAUUGUUGCCAUUGGUGUUUUUGUCGAAUUAAUGUACGAUUUGAUCUUCAAACCUGCAUCGAAGCUUACAUGGGUUGCAGGAAGGACAUGAGCAUCAACUAUUGUACUGAAGCCAUUAGGCUCGUCAUUCAUGAGUAUCAUCACAGCACCCCCAGCAUUUUUCACUUCGUCACCUUUAGCGAUUCUGCCUAUUCCCGCUCCUCUUUCACACAAGACCACUUUGCCUUUCACAUCCAUGCCUUCCAGCGCUCCCUCACCGCAAAAAGCCGACUCUGGUUUAUUGUUACUACCAGCAUAAACAAGGGGUAAUAGUGUCGUCGGAAAGUUGCUAGGUUGGAACAUAGAUUCUCCAACUAGUUCUUCUCCGUUUCCAAGCUUUGCGGUGGCAACAAUUUUUCUAUCAAUGGUACUUGCUCCAACAGUGAGGAUCCAUGGGGCUUCAUUAGAUAAUGUGCUGUUGGAAGGGCCAGAGUUUCCAGCUGAACAGCUCAUAAAUAUUCCUUUCUGAAUUGCAGCAAAGGAGCCUAUUGCUGUAUUAUCUUGAAAAAAGGGUACUGACACGCCACCGAGGGAGAGCGAGAGCACAUCCACACCAUCCUCCACUGCUGCAUCGAGACCAGCUAAUACAUCACUUUCAGGACAAUCAUCAUCAGGGUCUCCAAAGCACACUUUGUAAAUUGCCAGAUGAGCAUAAGGUGCCAUGCCAGCUGCUGUGCCUUUGCCAUUUCCGAGCACGUCAGCAUUGUAUACAAAGCUACCAGCAGCUGUACUCGCUGUGUGAGUCCCAUGGCCAUCAACAUCAAUUGGUGUUUCAGCCAAUGACCCCUUUAUGGCCUUAGCUGCAAGGUUGAAACUUCUUGCUCCAAUAAGUUUGUUGUUACACGCUGAUGCAUUGAACUCACAUCUGCCUUUCCAUUUGGCCGGAGGUGGCGGCAUUCCUUUGUCAUUGAAUGAAGGAUGGCUGGGGAAAACGCCACCAUCUAGUACUCCAAUUAUCACACCUUUGCCGAAAUUUGAUUCUUUCCAUAAUCCCGUUUGCUGGUGCAACCCCAAGAAGGUAGGAGUAUGUGUAGUCUGUAGACGUAAUUUUCUUUCGGGACUUGCAGAUACAAAGCCAUCAAUCUCUUCCAUGGCUUUCACUUCCUCCGGUGUCAUUCUUGCUGAAAAACCGCUGAUUAUAUUCUUGUAUGAGUAAAUCAUACGACGCUCCUCCUCCUCCUCAGAGCUUGCUGUGCUAAAUGAUAAAAAUGAUUUGUGCCAUUUCUUCAGAUCUUCUAGCUGCGAAAAGGUUUUUCCUUCUGGUUGACUGACAUGGAUAAUGUAGGUCUGCAAGUUGCUAGUUUCUUUCAUUUCAUCUGUGUAUUGAGCUGAUCGAGCAAUCUGAGGAUAAAAGUUGAACAAGAAAAUGAGAAAAAGUCGGACAGCCAUAUUUGAAUAAGUAAAUAUCAGUUCCUGUCAUGUCGAUCUUAGAGAAAUAUUCUUGCUAAUCGAUUCCGAUCCUAAUUAUUGCACGGUAUGGAAUUUUAUCCCUUAUUAAACAAUGUAGCUUCGUAGAAUAUGCUGUCUGCGUUCUGAUGAUUUAUAUAAUUUGUAAUUGGAUUUUUACUAUUGUUGUUUAUUUGAUGCUGUAACUAACAGACAUAUCAUUUUAAUUAUUAAAGAUGUCGGCGUCUUCCAAGAUUGCCAUCGCCACCGUGACCUAGUCUUCAUUUGAGAACAAAACUAGUAUUGGACUUCUAACAGAAUACUGAUCAGAAUCCCAUUUCAGAUAUCCUUGAACAAAUGGAUCACUGUAUACUUUGCCUGUGUUGGUAAAUGUGACAGUGUAUGUUUCUGUUUGUUUCACCUGAGUGAAAGCAAUCUUAGACGGUGUGACAGUGACGUCCACUCCUGGCGGUGGAGCAACUGAAACAGUGUAGGAUGAGGUAGCAGGGCCGACAUUGGUUACUGUUCUGGUGUAUGUCUGAGUUUUGAAACCAAACACAAUUGAGAAAGAAGGGUAAUUAAGUUGUGCUUCAGGUAUGCUUUGGACUUCUGAACAUUUGAUUUUGCGCUGCACAAUGUAUGUAAUGUCCCUGUCUGGGUAACCUAAGCCACACAAGUACGGAAUGUAAUCGUCGGGUUGGAUAUCAUAGACGAGCCCUGGAUCACCGGCUUUUGAUGGAUUGACAUGGCCGGAACCGGUGGCCAAAAUAUCAGCAGGAAGAAGCCUUUCAUCAACAAUUGGUUGGCCAGCUAGGUUUACUGUAUCAGCAGUGGUCAUAAUAGCGGAUUUGAUUGCAGCGGGAGACCAGUCGGGAUGAGCACUUUUCAACAAAGCCGCAAUGCCGCUAAGAUGGGGGCAGGACAUUGAGGUACCUGAGAUCAUGUUAAAUGUUGCUUUUGUAUUUGUUUUGUUCUCUACAGAAAUUGGCCAUGCUGCUAGAAUGCUUACGCCUGGACCGAUGAUGUCUGGUUUUAAGAUUCCCGGGCUUGAAAGGCUUGGUCCUCUAGAGGAGAAGGAAGAAACCAUUGGAGCACUUUUCACACCGAUUACUGUGCCUUCAAACACAAACAAGGCUGUUGGUGACGAUGUUGAGUUUAUGUAGGCUUUGAUUCCCAUUCCAUCAGAGUAACUUACAUGCGAUGCAGGAAGGACAUGAGCAUCGGCUAUGGUGUUGUAGCCUUCAUCCUCCUGAUUCACAAGAAUCAUACCAGCACCACCAGCAUCCGCUACUACCUGUCCUUUCUCGACUCUUCCGGCCGACCCGCCUCUAUCACACAAAACUAUCUUGCCUUUGACUUCAGAACUUUCCAGUGAUCCCUCUUCACAUAAAGCUGAUGACUGAUUGCCAUUCUUGCCUGGAUAAACAAGUGGCCAAAAGUUUUGGGUGGGCUUCUGUGGCUGGAAAAGUGACUCACCAAAAUAUUCUGCGUUAUUUCCAAGCUUUACUGUUGAUCUUAUGCUUCUAUCAAUGGUGCUAGCUCCGACAGUGAGAAUCCAUGGAGCCUCAUUUGAUAAAGAGGAAUUCUCUGGGCCAGAAUUCCCAGCUGAACAACUCACGAAGAUUCCAUUUUGAAUAGCUCCAAAUGCACCCACUGCAAUGCUAUCCGCAAAAAACGGAGAGGAACCACCACCGAGUGAAAGAGAAAGAAUGUCCACACCGUCAUCCACGGCAGUAUCCAUAGCAGCUAAAAUGUCACUUUCUGAGCAACCGAAGUCCGAGCAAACUUGGUACAUGGCCACGUGAGCCAAAGGUGCCAUUCCUACUGCUGUGCCAUUGGCAUUGCCAAAAACAUUGGCACCUUCUACAAAAUUACCCGCUGCUGUGCUUGAUGUGUGAGUACCGUGCCCUUCAUCGUCGAAUGGUCCUGGAGGUCCAUAUCUAUGCUCAUUUGAUAGGAAAGUUCUUGCACCAAUGAGUUUGUUGUUGCAAGCUACAGUUCCAUUAAAUUCACAUUUCCCUCUCCAUUUGGCUGGUGGAGGCGACAUUCCUUGUUCUCCGAACGAAGGGUGAUCUGGUGUUAUUCCGGUGUCUAAAACUCCAAUAAUCACUCCAUUACCAUAAGUUGAGUUCCUCCAGAAUCCUAAAUUUUGGUGCAGCCCCAAGAAGUUGGGACUAUGAGUUGUAUGCAAGGGCAAUAUCUUUUGAGGACGCGCCGACACUAACCCGUCGUUUGCUUCCAUAGCUUUUGCUUCAUCUGCUGUCAGCUUCGCAGCAAAUCCACUAACCACAUUUCGGUAAGAAUAUACUAUGCGUUUUUGCUGAUUCGAAUUUGAGAUGCUGGUUGGCAAAAAUGAUUUAUACCAGCUUUCCAAAUCUUGAGACUGCUUCAAAAAUCCGUCCUGUGGCUUUGUUACAAACACAAUGAGGCAGAGCUGUCGAUGAUCGUCGAUGAUAGUUUCUUGACAUAGUUUUAACCGAAGAUGCAAAGAAAGGACAACAUCUUAGAGCUUCACACUUGCAACUUGCAAUUGGACUUCCAACACUAUACCCAUCAGCAACCCAUUUCAGAUAUCCCUGAGCAAAAGAGCCAUCCACAUUUUCAUUUCUACUAAAUGUUACGGAGUAUGUUGCUUUGUUGCUUGCUUCACUGAAACUAAUAGAGCGAGGGAUCACCUUAACAUCCACACCUUCUGGCUCGAUAAUUUCAACGUUGUAAGUUGAAUUCGCCCGCCCAACAUUCGUAACAGUUCUUGUAUACAUCUGGGGAACAAAACCCAAUUUGAUGGAGAUUGAUGGAUAAUUCAAUUGGGCUUCCGGUAUGCUCCCAACACUGGAGCACCUCACUUUGUGCUGAAUAAUGACUUUUACUUGUUUGUCAGAAAAUCCCAAACCACAUAGGUAAGGAAUGUAAUCAUCAGGUUGGAUCUCAUAAACAAGCCCUGGAUAGUUUGCUUUUGAUGGAUUCACAUGGCCAGCACCCAUGUCGAAAACUGUAGCUGGAAUGAACUGUUGAUCAGAAAUGGGCUUAUCUCCAAUGUUAUUUAGAUCAGCGGUGGUCAUGAUGGCUGAUUUUAUAACUGCAGGAGACCAGUCUGGAUGGGCACUUUUGAGUAGAGCAGCAAUGCCGCUAAGAUGAGGGCAUGCCAUUGAGGUGCCUGACUCUAUAUAAAACCUGUUGGUAGUAUAAUCUUUUGAAAUUGGCCAGGCAGCUAAAACUUUGACCCCAGGACCUAUAAUGUCUGGUUUUAAGAUUCCAGAACUUACAUUGCUAGGACCUCUCGAGGAAAAAACAGCAACUUGAGGAGCCUCUUGCAAUCCAAUUACAGUUCCUUUGAACAAGAUUGUAGCUGUUGGCGAUGAUGACGAGUUUAUAUAGGAUUUGAUUGCUAAUCCAGCCUUGUAACUCACCCGUGAUGCAGGAAGCACAUGAAACUCUGGCUCCAUAACAAAGCCAUCAUCCUUGCUAUUCAUCUCAAUCAUGGCGAACCCACCAUUGUCUUUCACUUCUUGGCCUUUGUAAAUUGUGUCGAUGGAAUCUGUUUCCACCUUGCACAACACUAUUUUGCCUUUGACAUUAAUAUUUCUUAGUGAUCCUGUCUCGCAGAAUGCGGAUGAUCCUGAAUUAUCGCCAGCAUAGAGAAGGGGUAACAAUCUGGAGGAGAAGUCAUUUGGCUGGAAAAGAGAUUCGCCGUUUAACUCGGUCCAGAAUUUCCUGCCGCGCAACUCACGAAGAUCCCUUUCUGAAUAGCUGCAUAUGCAGCUAUGGCUAUCACAUUAUCAUAAAAAACAUGAGAACUAACUCCAAGAGAAAGUGAAAGAACAUCAACACCAUCCUCAAUAGCAGCAUCCAUUGCAGCCAACACCUCACUAUCCUCAAUACCUUUAUACAUGGCCAAGUGAGCUAGUGGCGCUACGCCACUUGCAGUUCCGUUAGCCUGCCCAAAGUAAUUAGCAUUUUGCACAUGACUUCCGGCUGCUAUGCUAGCUGUGCGGUUGAGGCAUUCCAUCGUCGCGGAAUGCAGGGUGAUCAGAGGCUAUUCCAGUGUCGAUAAGUCCAAUAAUCACUCCUUUUCCGUAAUUUGAACGCUUCCAAAAUCCUGAGUUUUGAUGGAGCCCCAAGAAGCUAGGACUAUGGGUGGUAAAGAACUGUAUCUGUUUUUGCGGACGUGCUGACAAGAACCCUUCCUUCAUCUCCAUUGCCUUAACUUCUUCCUCCGUGAGUCUGGCGGCAAAGCCUGUUAUGACAUGGCGGUACGAGAAAAUCAAACGAGAGCUCAUCUCAUUCGGCAAAAAGGAUGUAUACCAGCUUUCCAAGUCGUAUUGCGUGUCUGGCUUGUCUACGAUGAUAAUGUAAGUGUCAAUGUUUGCUUGAGAGUAGAAAGCAAGUAGCAUCAGGAAGGUGAAAAUGAUGAUUUUUUUGGUGGUCUGCAUUUCCUUUUCUUGGAUUUUUAGUUUAGGAACUGAGAAAUAGAAAUAAAAGUGAAACAAGGUAUAAAAGAAAGUUGGAAGAAGACGAAGAUUAGAGGCAGAAUGCAAGAAAAAGAGAGCUUAUAGAGAAGCUAAAUUGAACUACUUGUUUAUACAUUACAGAAUAUGAUCAAAUGCAUCUAUUUAACAAUGA